RNAcentral lists this ribosomal RNA (458 nucleotides) under uncultured bacterium. RNAcentral describes it as "partial 16S ribosomal RNA". It matches the Rfam family "Bacterial small subunit ribosomal RNA", at positions 338 to 795 of the family's 1533-position model. The record is from RNAcentral.
CCUACGGGAGGCAGCAGUGGGGAAUAUUGCACAAUGGGGGAAACCCUGAUGCGGCGACGCCGCGUGAGUGAAGAAGUAAUUCGUUACGUAAAGCUCUAUCAGCAGGGAAGAAACACUGACCUUACGGUCAGCAGACGGUACCUGAGUAAGAAGCCCCGGCUAACUACGUGACAGCAGCCGCGGUAAGACGUAGGGGGCAAGCGUUAUCCGGAUUUACUGGGUGUAAAGGGAGCGUAGACGGUGCGCCAAGUCUGGAGAGAAAUGCCGCAGCUUAACUGCGGAACUGCUUGGGAAUCUGGCGAACUAGAGUGCGGGAGGGGUAAGCGGAAUUCGUAGUGUAGCGGUGAAAUGCGUAGAUAUUAGGAGGAACACCGGUGGCGAAGGCGGCUUACUGGACCGUAACUGACGUUGAGGCUCGAAAGCGUGGGGAGCAAACAGGAUUAGAUACCCUGGUAGUC